Magnolia sinica is the source of this 831-nucleotide long non-coding RNA. RefSeq lists it as uncharacterized. The transcript is spliced from 4 exons. The record is from RefSeq and is a predicted model, not a curated record. NCBI's taxonomy places the organism in Eukaryota, Viridiplantae, Streptophyta, Magnoliopsida, Magnoliales, Magnoliaceae.
ACCUGGGACUCACCCAAAUCAACUCAAAACAGCUAUAUUCUGAGUCAACUUUCAUUUGCAUUGACUUGGUAUUACUUGGCUGGCUCAUGUCAACAGAACUCAGCUGUCAUUCGGUUUUCUACUUGAAUAUCCAGGGCUGAGGCACAACACGUCACAUGACUUGAGGAAGAAGAGGCUCUCAUUUCAGCUCAUAAAAAAAAUCUAGAUAGAAGAGGCUUGCCCCAAUUGCUUUUGUACUUAAGCUGGUUUUGCAAUAUUGAGUGCCGGAUAUCAGCAAAACCAAUCUAUAUAUUCUUUUUAGUGCAUUUGGGUAUUUACGCCUUUUGUGGUGGAUGCAAUGUGUUAUGCCCUUUUCUCUCUGGAUGAAUCCAAAUUCUGAAGGGCUUCUUACUCUUGCCUUUGUACCUAGAAAGCAAUUAUCUCUCAAUUGUAGACGAAUUCCAUUUCAGUCCAAUAAUUCCAAUGUCUUGAUGAUUGUUGUUUCCCUUUUCAGGAUAAUUUCAAUUAUGCAAUUACAUAUUACCAUAAGGUACACUUACAAGUUGGGGCAUAGGUUAUUCAAUGGUCUGUACAUUUGGAGUUAGACAUAUCACUUCAAAGCAUCUCCUUAUCCUGGACAGGAUUCUUUACAGUGUGUAGUAAUUUUUCGUGACAUGGGAAAGGUAGGAAGCGCCUUGAUCCUGUGGGUCUAGGAGAUGAUGAUCAAUGCAUUGAGGAGGGAGCUUCACACUCCAGCUUCUGAUCGUUCUUGCAUUCAUCUGGAAUUUGACAUAUUUGGGACAGGACUUGUGUAAGUUUCCUUUGGAUUUUAUUUGAUGCAACUUCAGAGCC